CAGAAAGCCGACUCCUAAAGGAGGCUGGUGUUGAGCCAGGCCCUUAUAUAACACACCUACUUGCUAUAAACAAGAGCACCAGAGAAAGGUUUCCAAUUGGAUUGAAAGUGUUCCCCCUUUUGUCUGCAGUUUGGACAACUUCAAGGCUGUAAAGAUGAGUCUACCCCACAUAUAUUAUUGUCCUUACAUGUUCUCUCCCUUUUUGUUCUCUCCCUUCUAACUCAACCUUCAACUCCCUAUCGUGGAAGGAAAUAUAGUUGUUGUGUGUGUGCAUGUGUGUGUGUGCCUGCGUGCAUGCAUGUAUGUGUGAAUGUGUGCGUGUGCGUGUGUGUUUCUCAGCAUAAUCCGCUUUAGCAGGCUGCUAGAUCUGACCAGUAGCAGCAGCUGUGGCAGCUGCAGCAGUGGCUGAUUGCACUGGAAGGGCAUGGAUAAGCCUGUUUGAUGGAACCAAGAAGGAAGGCAUUUAAAACCUUCAUGUCUUUCUACUGCUCUUUGCAAGCCCUCAUUAGCUUCACUAGAGGGAAAACUUAUCUUGUAGGGUUCAGUCGCUGUCUUCCUCUGGGCACACAGCACAAUCAGGAGGGAUUUCCAUUCAAAAUAAAGGAGGUGGAGUUGGAUUUUUAAAAAGAGAGAAAGGGAGAAGAGCAUACUCUCUCUCAUCUGCUGAAACUCACUGAGCCAGGUGACCUCCUGAAAAGGUAGGAAGACAUUGGUUUUGCCUCCUACUCCCUCUUGGCUCUCUGACUCUGAGACCCACAGGCGGUCCCAGUCAGUAAACGGGGUUUCUGGUCCUGUAUGAGUGUGCUUUGUUUUCCGAGGGAGUCUGAAUACUACCCAUCCAACCUUCUAUAUCGUCUUUUUCCCUGACGUGGAAAGAUUACAGUUCCCAGAUAGAUGGCUGGAAAUUGCUUCGGGGAGAGGGUAGAGUGGUGACUGGUGGGAAUAAAGGAUUCUGGAUGGGAAGCCCCGGAGGAAGCCACUGACCGCAGUGCAUGCUGGGGGUUGUAGUUCUCGUGUACUCCACGGGUAAACAAGUCAGAGAAGCAGGCAGAGGAACCAACUCAGUAAAACCCGAGCUAUGUGAGAUGAAUGCUUGCUGGAUCCCGGGAUUUAGGCUAAAGUGGGCCAGCCUAGCCUGCCUGCUGAAGACAUAAGAAAGGGUUUUUGAAGGCGUCUCUCAUAAGAUGGCAUUUGAGCAGAGACCUGAGGAAGUGAAAGAUGGAGGGCUGAAGCUUCCAGUUAGAGGAACAAGCAAAGACCCCGAGCAGGAUCAGGAAAGUGUGGUAGAGACAUAAUCAAAGAUUCAGACAAAGAUAUAACUACAGAAUGCACAUGACGGUUUUGUUAAUACACCAAAAGGAAAAAAAUUAAAUAACGGACUCUCCCAAUAAAUUGUGACCAUCUAUAGUUUGGAAUAACAUGAAGAUUGUUAAAAACUAUGUUUACAAGAAUGGCAAUAACAGAGAAACACUUGCUAUAUAAUUUUCACAAUAACAAGGUGAAGAAAUAUUAUAUAUAUAUAUAAUAAAAUUCAAAUUUUUAAGAGAAAUUAAAAUGUAUAGAAAACAUUGGAAAAGGAUACACUUAAUAAUCUUUUUUUCAGCAUGGUAGAAUUGUGGGUGAUUUUUGUUCCCUUUAUAUUUUUUAAUACUUUGUACUUUUUAAUGACAAAUGUAUAUACUACCAUUUAAUGAUAAAAAUAUAUUUUUAAAAUACUGGAUAAGAAUUAUUCAAAUAAAUGCCUUAUUUAAAAGUUAAAUUGCAGACCAAGUGCAGUGGUUCACGCCUGUAAUCCCAACACUCUGAGAGGCCAAGGUAGGAGGACUGUUUGAGGCCAGGAGUUUGAGACCACCUUGGGCAACAGAGCAAGACCCUGUCUUUGCUGGGCAUGGUAGUAUGAGCCUCCAGUCCUGGCUACUCAGGAGGUUGAGGCAGGGGGAUUGAUUGAGCCCAGGAGGUCAAGGGUGCAGUGAGCUAUGAUUGUGCCACUUGCACCCCAGCCUGGGCAACAGAGCAAGACCGUCUCUACAAAUAAAUAAGUAAAUAAAUAAGAUACAAUAAAAAUUAAAUUGCAAAUGAAAAGUUACACUCUAUCUCAUCCUAUUGUAUACUAGAAAUUAUAAUUUUCCUCCAAUUCAUUACUUUGAUUAUUCUACAAAAUCAAGACUAAACUGGAAUUCAAAUCAGAAAGGCUAAGAAGCAAAGAAUAACAAUGGUGAACUUCAAGAUAAAUAUCCCACAUUAUUUUCAAGGCAGAGGCCAGUGUUGCCUUCUGCAUCUGUUUUGGGAAGAGUGCCCAAAGCCUUCAGAGGAGACAACCUUUUGUGCUGUGUCCCCUACUCCCCCCCCCAUUCUUACCCUGAAUAGCAUUCUUUCCAAAAAAGAAUAAAGAAUACUCAAGGAAAACUAUUAAAAUGCUUGGCAAAACUACACAGACAGACACAGAGGCCAAUUAAGUAUAAAUAUUUCACACCAGAACUGUCUUUUUGACCCAGCCACUAAUAUCUACCCGGCCACAGAUCUAAAUGUUUGGAUGAAAACGACAGAGCAGAGGAGGGCUGGUCAGCCAGCUGCAGAGGGGCGCCCCUUCGGAGCGUUCGCAUCUGCCUGAAGAAUAUGUGUAGUACGUUUUCCUAGAAGCAUGGAGGGGCAUGCGGGUUUGACCAUCUUCCUAAACCUGGAGAAGGUCACUGUUUUCCUUCAGGGAUUAUUCUGUCUCACCGCUUUUGUUUUUUGGUUUCCCUUGAUCUAAAACAAAAGGGUCUACUUUCUUCUUUGGAUUUUGAAGCUGUGGGUGCCUUUCUUCUCAGUUAAUUUUUUUUUUUGUUUUCAUCUGUUAAGACUUAGCUAGUUUAGGUUUUGAAAAUGAACACACUGACAGCCAUUGUGAGAAGAUAGCCUGGCCUUUUGGAGGACAAAUGCUGUGGGGUGGCGUAACCUUGAGGCUCAAGUCCUGGCACUGGCAUUUAGUGUGAGUCAUGCUGUAUUGCUUCACCUCCUGGGCUUCAGUCUCUCCAUCUGUGAAUGUAGAAUGACAAUACCUGCUGUGCUGUAAGGUCACUGUGAAGAUUAAAUGAGAUAAUGCUUUGUAA
RNAcentral lists this long non-coding RNA (3092 nucleotides) under Homo sapiens (human). RNAcentral describes it as "HSALNT0299148". The record is from RNAcentral. Lineage: Eukaryota; Metazoa; Chordata; Mammalia; Primates; Hominidae.